UACGGGGGGAGCAAGCGUUGUUCGGAUUUACUGGGCGUAAAGGGCGCGUAGGCGGUCAGCACAAGUCAGUUGUGAAAUCUCCGGGCUUAACUCGGAAAGGUCAACUGAUACUGUGCGACUAGAGUGCAGAAGGGGCAACUGGAAUUCUCGGUGUAGCGGUGAAAUGCGUAGAUAUCGGGAGGAAUACCGAUGGCGAAGGCAGGUCUCUGGGCUAUAACUGACGCUCAUGCACGAAAGCGUGGGGAGCAAACAGG
This 254-nucleotide ribosomal RNA is filed under the name uncultured bacterium. RNAcentral describes it as "partial 16S ribosomal RNA". It matches the Rfam family "Bacterial small subunit ribosomal RNA", at positions 524 to 776 of the family's 1533-position model. The record is from RNAcentral.